RNAcentral lists this ribosomal RNA (506 nucleotides) under uncultured bacterium. RNAcentral describes it as "partial 16S ribosomal RNA". It matches the Rfam family "Bacterial small subunit ribosomal RNA", at positions 29 to 523 of the family's 1533-position model. The record is from RNAcentral.
AGUGAACGCUGGCGGUAGGCCUAACACAUGCAAGUCGAACGGCAGCACAGGAGAGCUUGCUCUCUGGGUGGCGAGUGGCGGACGGGUGAGGAAUACAUCGGAAUCUACUCUGUCGUGGGGGAUAACGUAGGGAAACUUACGCUAAUACCGCAUACGACCUACGGGUGAAAGCAGGGGACCUUCGGACCUUGCGCGAUUGAAUGAGCCGAUGUCGGAUUAGCUAGUUGGCGGGGUAAAGGCCCACCAAGGCGACGAUCUGUAGCUGGUCUGAGAGGAUGGUCAACCACACUGGAACUGAGACACGGUCCAGACUCCUACGGGAGGCAGCAGUGGGGAAUAUUGGACGAUGGGCGCAAGCCUGAUCCAGCCAUACCGCGUGGGUGAAGAAGGCCUUCGGGUUGUAAAGCCCUUUUGUUGGGAAAGGAAUCCAGCUGGCUAAUACCCGGUUGGGAUGACGGUACCCAAAGAAUAAGCACCGGCUAACUUCGUGCCAGCCGCCGCCGUAA